RNAcentral lists this ribosomal RNA (253 nucleotides) under uncultured bacterium. RNAcentral's name for it is "partial 16S ribosomal RNA". It matches the Rfam family "Bacterial small subunit ribosomal RNA", at positions 524 to 776 of the family's 1533-position model. The record is from RNAcentral.
UACGAAGGGUGCAAACGUUGCUCGGAAUUAUUGGGCGUAAAGCGCACGUAGGCGGCUUAGCAAGUCGGAAGUGAAAGCCCUUGGCUCAACCAAGGAAGUGCUUUCGAAACUGCUGAGCUUGAGUAGUUAAGAGGAUCGCGGAAUUCCCGGUGUAGAGGUGAAAUUCGUAGAUAUCGAGAGGAACACCGGUGGCGAAGGCGGCCUUCUGGACAGUGACUGACGCUGAGACGCGAAAGCGUGGGGAGCAAACAGG